CACUGACCAACUUCAGCUUCACUUGGGACACAGAGAGCAUCAACAAAAAUCCAGAGGAAGUCCAACUGAUCCACGACAAUACUGAUGAUGAUGCGUCCAUACUACUGAUCCUGCUGACCUCAGAUCCUUUCAGGAACAGAAGACAGCCAGACAACGCAAACGGAGCUCCAACUGGUCUACAGUGCUGAUGAUGUGUCCAUUGUAGAGCAGUUAACCACAGAUCCGGCUGACUUCAUCAUUGUGACCAACCUUACUGUAGCUCCACUCUGGACACAAAAGACAUUGACACAAAAUCAAAAGAGAUUCAGCUGGUCCAGGACAUUGCUGCUGAUGCUGUGUCCAUUGCUGGGCUGUUAACCACCACAGGUUUUGCCAACUUCAGCACCAUGACCAAC
This is a long non-coding RNA of Sardina pilchardus (European sardine), 395 nucleotides long. RefSeq lists it as uncharacterized. The record is from RefSeq and is a predicted model, not a curated record. Lineage: Eukaryota; Metazoa; Chordata; Actinopteri; Clupeiformes; Clupeidae. The transcript is spliced from 4 exons.